GAUUAACGCUAGCGGUGUGCCUAAGAUAUGCAAGUCGAACGAAGCUGUUUUAACUGGUGCUUGCACCGACUUAAACAACUGAGUGGCGAACGGGUGAGUAACACGUGGGUAACCUGCCCCAAAGCGGGGGAUAACAUUUGGAAACAGAUGCUAAUACCGCAUAACCACAGAAACCACAUGGUUUCUGUGUCAAAGAUGGUUUCGGCUAUCACUUUGGGAUGGACCCGCGGCGUAUUAGCUAGUUGGUAAGGUAAUGGCUUACCAAGGCAAUGAUACGUAGCCGAACUGAGAGGUUGAUCGGCCACAUUGGGACUGGGACACGGCCCAAACUCCUACGGGAGGCAGCAGUAGGGAAUCUUCCACAAUUGACGAAAGUCUGAUGGAGCAACGCCGCGUGAGUGAAGAAGGUUUUCGGAUCGUAAAACUCUGUUGUCAGAGAAGAACGUGUGCGAGAGUAACUGCUCGUGCAGUGACGGUAUCUGGCCAGAAAGCCACGGCUAACUACGUGCCAGCAGCCGCCGUAA
This 524-nucleotide ribosomal RNA is filed under the name uncultured bacterium. RNAcentral describes it as "partial 16S ribosomal RNA". It matches the Rfam family "Bacterial small subunit ribosomal RNA", at positions 28 to 523 of the family's 1533-position model. The record is from RNAcentral.